CCUACGGGUGGCAGCAGUGGGGAAUAUUGGGCAAUGGGCGCAAGCCUGACCCAGCAACGCCGCGUGAAGGAAGACGGCUCUCGGGUUGUAAACCUCUUUUGACAGGGAAGAGCAGAAGACGGUACCUGUCGAAUAAGCCACGGCUAACUACGUGCCAGCAGCCGCGGUAAUACGUAGGUGGCAAGCGUUAUCCGGAUUUACUGGGUGUAAAGGGCGUGUAGCCGGGCUGAGAAGUCAGAUGUGAAAUCCCGGGGCUCAACCCCCGAACUGCAUUUGAAACUGUUGGUCUUGAGUAUCGGAGAGGCAGGCGGAAUUCCUGGUGUAGCGGUGAAAUGCGUAGAGAUCAGGAAGAACACCAAUGGCGAAGGCAGCCUACUAGACGACAACUGACGGUGAGGCACGAAAGCGUGGGGAGCAAACAGGAUUAGAUACCCGGGUAGUC
RNAcentral lists this ribosomal RNA (442 nucleotides) under uncultured bacterium. Its description in RNAcentral is "partial 16S ribosomal RNA". It matches the Rfam family "Bacterial small subunit ribosomal RNA", at positions 338 to 795 of the family's 1533-position model. The record is from RNAcentral.